AAUACUGUUGGCGUAGCUGGUAACGCACUAGAUUCUCAAUCUGGGGACCGCGGGUUCAAUUCCCGCAUGGUA
This 72-nucleotide transfer RNA is filed under the name Nannocystis sp. RNAcentral's name for it is "tRNA-Glu". It matches the Rfam family "tRNA". From Rfam's summary of the family: Transfer RNA (tRNA) molecules are approximately 80 nucleotides in length. Their secondary structure includes four short double-helical elements and three loops (D, anti-codon, and T loops). The record is from RNAcentral. Lineage: Bacteria; Pseudomonadati; Myxococcota; Nannocystales; Nannocystaceae.